Molecule: ribosomal RNA, 486 nt
Filed under: uncultured bacterium
Lineage: Bacteria
Description: bacterial SSU rRNA
Rfam family: Bacterial small subunit ribosomal RNA
Source: RNAcentral
AACGCUGGCGGCAUGCCUUACACAUGCAAGUCGAACGGCAGCAUGGAGGAGCUUGCUCCUCUGAUGGCGAGUGGCGAACGGGUGAGUAAAGCAUCGGAACGUACCGUGUAGUGGGGGAUAACGUAGCGAAAGUUACGCUAAUACCGCAUACGCACUGAGGUGGAAAGCAGGGGAUCGCAAGACCUUGCGCUAUACGAGCGGCCGAUGUCAGAUUAGCUAGUUGGUAGGGUAAAGGCCUACCAAGGCGACGAUCUGUAGCGGGUCUGAGAGGAUGAUCCGCCACACUGGGACUGAGACACGGCCCAGACUCCUACGGGAGGCAGCAGUGGGGAAUUUUGGACAAUGGGGGAAACCCUGAUCCAGCCAUGCCGCGUGAGUGAAGAAGGCCUUCGGGUUGUAAAGCUCUUUCGGCUGGGAAGAAAUCGCACAGGCUAAUACUCUGUGUGGAUGACGGUACCAGCAUAAGAAGCACCGGCUAACUACGUG